GAUGAACGCUGGCGGCGUGCCUAAUACAUGCAAGUCGAGCGAACGGACGAGAAGCUUGCUUCUCUGAUGUUAGCGGCGGACGGGUGAGUAACACGUGGAUAACCUACCUAUAAGACUGGGAUAACUUCGGGAAACCGGAGCUAAUACCGGAUGAUAUUUUGAACCGCAUGGUUCAAAAGUGAAAGACGGUCUUGCUGUCACUUAUCGAUGGAUCCGCGCUGCAUUAGCUAGUUGGUAAGGUAACGGCUUACCAAGGCAACGAUGCAUAGCCGACCUGAGAGGGUGAUCGGCCACACUGGAACUGAGACACGGUCCAGACUCCUACGGGAGGCAGCAGUAGGGAAUCUUCCGCAAUGGGCGAAAGCCUGACGGAGCAACGCCGCGUGAGUGAUGAAGGUCUUCGGAUCGUAAAACUCUGUUAUUAGGGAAGAACAUAUGUGUAAGUAACUGGGCACAUCUUGACGGUACCUAAUCAAAAAGCCACGGCUAACUACGUG
Molecule: ribosomal RNA, 497 nt
Filed under: uncultured bacterium
Lineage: Bacteria
Description: partial 16S ribosomal RNA
Rfam family: Bacterial small subunit ribosomal RNA
Source: RNAcentral